Molecule: ribosomal RNA, 412 nt
Filed under: uncultured microorganism
Description: bacterial SSU rRNA
Rfam family: Archaeal small subunit ribosomal RNA
Source: RNAcentral
GUGCACCAGUCGCGAAACCUCCGCAAUACACGAAAGUGUGACGGGGCCAUCCCGAGUGCCGUCCGCCGAGGACGGCUUUUCCCCAGUGUACACAGCUGGGGGAAUAAGGAGAGGGCAAGCCUGGUGUCAGCCGCCGCGGUAAUACCAGCUCUCCGAGUGGUGGGGACGCUUAUUGGGCCUAAAGCAUCCGUAGCCGGCUGGGCAAGUCCUCCGUUAAAUCCAACGAUUCAAUCGUUGGGCUGCGGGGGAUACUGUCCAGCUUGGGGGCGGGAGAGGCCGACGGUAUUCCCGGGGUAGGGGUGAAAUCCUAUAAUCCCGGGAGGACCACCAGUGGCGAAGGCUGUCGGCUAGAACGCGCCCGACGGUGAGGGAUGAAAGCUGGGGGAGCGAACCGGAUUAGGAUACCCCCGUA